GGGAGUGGGGAUUAAGAGGGGUUUCAGAGCUAUGCUGGAAACAGCAUAGCAAGUUGAAAUAAGGCUAGUCCGUUAUCAACUUGAAAAAGUGGCACCGAGUCGGUGCUUUUUUU
RNAcentral lists this small RNA (113 nucleotides) under Vector pAAVsc_gPCSK9. RNAcentral's name for it is "PCSK9-gRNA2". The stretch from base 22 to 113 matches the Rfam family "Trans-activating crRNA". Rfam says of the family: RNA-guided Streptococcus pyogenes Cas9 (SpCas9) is a sequence-specific DNA endonuclease, the Trans-activating CRISPR RNA form an hybrid with the crRNA (crRNA/tracrRNA). The record is from RNAcentral.